Long non-coding RNA from Juglans microcarpa x Juglans regia, 533 nucleotides. RefSeq lists it as uncharacterized. NCBI's taxonomy places the organism in Eukaryota, Viridiplantae, Streptophyta, Magnoliopsida, Fagales, Juglandaceae. The transcript has 3 exons. The record is from RefSeq and is a predicted model, not a curated record.
CCUCUGAUCUGCCUUCCCGCACCCCUCCCUCCCUCUCCUCCUCACCGAAUCGAUCCCCCUCCCUACAAGAGUUCUUUACCAUCACACGACCCAGAUCUGCCACCAGCGGCUGCCGCACCACCUCCUCGAGGCUACCAGCCAUCCACCGGCACCCCCUGCUCCCCCAUGGCCAACCCGAGUCCCCUCUCCUCUCAGAUCUGUAUGGAAUCUUUAGUGUGGAUAAGAAAUCUGUAAAACCAUUACUACUUCAAAACAAGGGCUGCACCAGUUGGUAGCUAGCAAUCAAAGUGAGAAUGUGAGAGGGAUCAAGGUGGGCCAACCUGGUAAUCAAAGUACUUCAUUAAUCUAAUUUAUGUUCAGAGUAAUUUUUUUUUUUCAAUUUUAUGUUGUCUCUUCUUUGUAAGCCUAGAGAAUUCCACAUAUGUGUACUUAGUCAAUGUGGUCAAAUGCAGUUGUAAACUUUUCUAGUUUUACUUUUCGGCAGUUAUAAGCUUUUCUAGUUUUACUUUGCAAUCCUUUUGUUUUCAGCUAUA